AGUCCCCUAACCUUAUUCUUAUUUUUGGUUAGGGAAUCCAAGUUCUUAAGCACUUAAGUGGUGGUAAGCAUAUUUUCGUUUAAUGGUUUAGUCUUCCUAUUCUCUUUCAUUUCAUCUCCUUUCUUUAGACUCACCCUUGUUCAUUGUGGUUUUAGGAGUGUUCCAAAAGUCCUAACUCAGUCCAUUUUAUCCCGGUAACUUUGGUAAGGAAAAUAGGCUAGAAUCAAUAUGUUAUGUGCUUAUGUUAUCUAUAUGUUUUAUGUUAUUAAUGUGUUAUGAUAUGUAUGUAUGUUUGUAGGCUUGGGCAUAUGACCCAUAUGACUAACAAGACCCCAAAUGGAUUAUGGGCAUAUGACCUACUUAGCUAGUAGGACCCCACUAAUUCCAUGGGCAUAUGCUUGUUUAGUCUAUGGGACCCCAAGUAAUAAUGGCCAUUAUAAUAAGUGUAUGUUAUAUGUAUUAUGUUAAGUCUUUAUGUUUUCUUAUGAAAUUGUGUAUAUGACUAUGUGUUAGGAAAAUAGGCUAGAAUCAAUAUGUUAUGUGCUUAUGUUAUCUAUAUGUUUUAUGUUAUUAAUGUGUUAUGAUAUGUAUGUAUGUUUGUAGGCUUGGGCAUAUGACCCAUAUGACUAACAAGACCCCAAAUGGAUUAUGGGCAUAUGACCUACUUAGCUAGUAGGACCCCACUAAUUCCAUGGGCAUAUGCUUGUUUAGUCUAUGGGACCCCAAGUAAUAAUGGCCAUUAUAAUAAGUGUAUGUUAUAUGUAUUAUGUUAAGUCUUUAUGUUUUCUUAUGAAAUUGUGUAUAUGACUAUGUGUUAGGUUUUUCCUUGCUGGGCAUUAGGCUCACUCCUUUCUGUUUAUGUGCAGGAAAAUAAGCUUAGAGGCGGUAAGAUUCGUGAUGCUUGGGAGGAUGUGUAUCGAUGAUGAAUGGAGUCAAGGGGCCGAGCGUUAUCGAUUCGAGGAUGUAGUCUCCUUUUAUGUUUUUUAUGGUUUUACAUGUAUUUUCCGCAUUAUUAUGUAAUGUCUUUUAUUUUAAAUCUUAUUUUGUUUUAAAGACAAUGGGAUCCCAAAAUCCUUCUUAGUAUUCGUUUUUUUGUAAAUAACUCUUAUUUUCAAGUUACUCAAUAAAUUAUGGUAUUUUCGUAAAA
Long non-coding RNA from Humulus lupulus (European hop), 1147 nucleotides. RefSeq lists it as uncharacterized. The transcript has 2 exons. The record is from RefSeq and is a predicted model, not a curated record. Lineage: Eukaryota; Viridiplantae; Streptophyta; Magnoliopsida; Rosales; Cannabaceae.